GUCCACGCCGUAAACGUUGAUUACUCGCUGUUGGCAAUACACUGUCAGCGGCUAAGCGAAAGCGUUAAGUAAUCCACCUGGGAAGUACGACCGCAAGGUUGAAACUCAAAGGAAUUGACGGGGGCCCGCACAAGCGGAGGAGCAUGUGGUUUAAUUCGAUGAUACGCGAGGAACCUUACCUGGGCUUAAAUGUUGUUUGACAAUUGCCGAAAGGUGAUCUUCCUUCGGGACAAAUAGCAAGGUGCUGCAUGGCUGUCGU
RNAcentral lists this ribosomal RNA (259 nucleotides) under uncultured bacterium. RNAcentral's name for it is "partial 16S ribosomal RNA". It matches the Rfam family "Bacterial small subunit ribosomal RNA", at positions 793 to 1055 of the family's 1533-position model. The record is from RNAcentral.